This 1041-nucleotide small RNA is filed under the name Pongo abelii (Sumatran orangutan). RNAcentral describes it as "processed transcript". Lineage: Eukaryota; Metazoa; Chordata; Mammalia; Primates; Hominidae. The record is from RNAcentral.
UGUGUUUAUUUGAUUGCUUUGGUGGCGAGGCGCGGGGCUCGGGCUCGUCGCGCGCCCCACGGCCGGGGAGCGCAUCCGCCAACCCCGGGUGGAGGUGGGCCCCUCCGAGCGCGCGCGGGCGGCGGGCAGCGGCGGCAGCUGAGACUCCGGGGGAUGUGACAGCCGCCGGGAAGGGGGCGAGACGCAGACCACACGUUGCCCACGUGCGAGGACCGGGCAGGGGCUCAGCCCCUAGGCCGCCCGGUGCGUGGGGCGGCGGGGGCUGGCUUUGAGUCACCCCCCUUGUGCCAGCUUCCCCGGCUCGGCGGAGACUGGCUUGGGGAUGCCCGGCCGCCCGGCCCCCUUCGCGGACGCGGCGUGGGGAGCGAGCUGGAGGAAAGGAUGAAGGGGCGGCCGGCGAGUCCCAGUGAGAGCGGAGGGUGCCAGAGGUAGGGGGCCGAGAAACAAAGUUUCCGGGGCUCCCUCCGGGGCCGCGGUCGGGGCAGCGCGUUUGACCGCCCCCCUCCUCGCGAAGGCAAUGGCUUCCAAACUCCUGCGCGCGGUCAUCCUCGGGCCGCCCGGCUCGGGCAAGGGCACCGUGUGCCAGAGGAUCGCCCAGAACUUUGGCCUCCAGCAUCUCUCCAGCGGCCACUUCUUGCGGGAGAACAUCAAGGCCAACACCGAAGUUGGUGAGAUGGCAAAGCAGUAUAUAGAGAAAAGUCUUUUGGUUCCAGACCAUGUGAUCACACGCCUAAUGAUGUCCGAGUUGGAGAAUAGGCGUGGCCAGCACUGGCUCCUUGAUGGUUUUCCUAGGACAUUAGGACAAGCCGAAGCCCUGGACAAAAUCUGUGAAGUGGAUCUAGUGAUCAGUUUGAAUAUUCCAUUUGAAACACUUAAAGAUCGUCUCAGCCGCCGUUGGAUUCACCCUCCUAGUGGAAGGGUAUAUAACCUGGACUUCAAUCCACCUCAUGUACAUGGUAUUGAUGACGUCACUGGUGAACCAUUAGUCCAGCAGGAGGAUGAUAAACCCGAAGCAGUUGCUGCCAGGCUAAGACAGUACAA